Molecule: ribosomal RNA, 600 nt
Filed under: Bacillus sp. (in: firmicutes)
Lineage: Bacteria; Bacillati; Bacillota; Bacilli; Caryophanales; Bacillaceae
Description: bacterial SSU rRNA
Rfam family: Bacterial small subunit ribosomal RNA
Source: RNAcentral
UGCAGUCGAGCGAACUGAUUAGAAGCUUGCUUCUAUGACGUUAGCGGCGGACGGGUGAGUAACACGUGGGCAACCUGCCUGUAAGACUGGGAUAACUUCGGGAAACCGAAGCUAAUACCGGAUAGGAUCUUCUCCUUCAUGGGAGAUGAUUGAAAGAUGGUUUCGGCUAUCACUUACAGAUGGGCCCGCGGUGCAUUAGCUAGUUGGUGAGGUAACGGCUCACCAAGGCAACGAUGCAUAGCCGACCUGAGAGGGUGAUCGGCCACACUGGGACUGAGACACGGCCCAGACUCCUACGGGAGGCAGCAGUAGGGAAUCUUCCGCAAUGGACGAAAGUCUGACGGAGCAACGCCGCGUGAGUGAUGAAGGCUUUCGGGUCGUAAAACUCUGUUGUUAGGGAAGAACAAGUACGAGAGUAACUGCUCGUACCUUGACGGUACCUAACCAGAAAGCCACGGCUAACUACGUGCCAGCAGCCGCGGUAAUACGUAGGUGGCAAGCGUUAUCCGGAAUUAUUGGGCGUAAAGCGCGCGCAGGCGGUUUCUUAAGUCUGAUGUGAAAGCCCACGGCUCAACCGUGGAGGGUCAUUGGAAACUGGGG